CUCAGAGUGAACGCUGGCGGCAGGCCUAACACAUGCAAGUCGAGCGGCAGCGCGGGGCAACCUGGCGGCGAGCGGCGGACGGGUGAGGAAUGCAUCGGAAUCUACCCUGUCGUGGGGGAUAACGUAGGGAAACUUACGCUAAUACCGCAUACGACCGAGAGGUGAAAGUGGGGGACCUUCGGGCCUCACGCGAUUGGAUGAGCCGAUGCCGGAUUAGCUAGUUGGUGGGGUAAAGGCCCACCAAGGCGACGAUCCGUAGCUGGUCUGAGAGGAUGAUCAGCCACAUUGGGACUGAGACACGGCCCAAACUCCUACGGGAGGCAGCAGUGGGGAAUAUUGGACAAUGGGCGCAAGCCUGAUCCAGCCAUGCCGCGUGUGUGAAGAAGGCCUUCGGGUUGUAAAGCACUUUUGUUCGGGAAGAAAUCGUACGGAUUAAUACUUUGUACGGAUGACGGUACCGAAAGAAUAAGCACCGGCUAACUUCGUGCCAGCAGCCGCGGUAAUACGAAGGGUGCAAGCGUUACUCGGAAUCACUGGGCGUAAAGCGUGCGUAGGCGGUUCGUUAAGUCUGCUGUGAAAGCCCUGGGCUCAACCUGGGAACUGCAGUGGAUACUGGCGGACUAGAGUGUGAUAGAGGAUGGUGGAAUUCCCGGUGUAGCGGUGAAAUGCGUAGAGAUCGGGAGGAACACCAGUGGCGAAGGCGGCCAUCUGGAUCAACACUGACGCUGAGGCACGAAAGCGUGGGGAGCAAACAGGAUUAGAUACCCUGGUAGUCCACGCCCUAAACGAUGCGAACUGGACGUUGGUUGCAACUUGGCAAUCAGUGUCGAAGCUAACGCGUUAAGUUCGCCGCCUGGGGAGUACGGUCGCAAGACUGAAACUCAAAGGAAUUGACGGGGGCCCGCACAAGCGGUGGAGUAUGUGGUUUAAUUCGAUGCAACGCGAAGAACCUUACCUGGCCUUGACAUCCAGUGAACUUUCCAGAGAUGGAUUGGUGCCUUCGGGAACACUGAGACAGGUGCUGCAUGGCUGUCGUCAGCUCGUGUCGUGAGAUGUUGGGUUAAGUCCCGCAACGAGCGCAACCCUUGUCCUUAGUUGCCAGCACGUAAAGGUGGGAACUCUAAGGAGACUGCCGGUGACAAACCGGAGGAAGGUGGGGAUGACGUCAAGUCAUCAUGGCCCUUACGGCCAGGGCUACACACGUACUACAAUGGUCGGUACAGAGGGUUGCAAAGCCGCGAGGUGGAGCCAAUCCCAGAAAACCGAUCCCAGUCCGGAUCGGAGUCUGCAACUCGACUCCGUGAAGUCGGAAUCGCUAGUAAUCGCGGAUCAGCUAUGCCGCGGUGAAUACGUUCCCGGGCCUUGUACACACCGCCCGUCACACCAUGGGAGUUGGUUGCUCCAGAAGUAGGUAGUCUAACCGCAAGGAGGACGCUUACCACGGAGUGGUCAAUGACUGGGGUGAAGUCGUAACAAGGUAGCCGUAUCGGAAGGUGCGGCUGG
Molecule: ribosomal RNA, 1503 nt
Filed under: Tahibacter aquaticus
Lineage: Bacteria; Pseudomonadati; Pseudomonadota; Gammaproteobacteria; Lysobacterales; Rhodanobacteraceae
Description: bacterial SSU rRNA
Rfam family: Bacterial small subunit ribosomal RNA
Source: RNAcentral